UGGGGAAUAUUGCACAAUGGGCGCAAGCCUGAUGCAGCCAUGCCGCGUGUAUGCAGAAGGCCUUCGGGUUGUAAAGUACUUUCAGUCGGGAGGAAGGUGUCAAGGUUAAUAACCUUGGCAAUUGACGUUACCGACAGAAGAAGCACCGGCUAACUCCGUGCCAGCAGCCGCGGUAAUACGGAGGGUGCAAGCGUUAAUCGGAAUUACUGGGCGUAAAGCGCACGCAGGCGGUUGAUUGAGUCAGAUGUGAAAUCCCCGGGCUUAACCCGGGAAUUGCAUCUGAUACUGGUCAGCUAGAGUCUUGUAGAGGGGGGUAGAAUUCCAUGUGUAGCGGUGAAAUGCGUAGAGAUGUGGAGGAAUACCGGUGGCGAAGGCGGCCCCCUGGACAAAGACUGACGCUCAGGUGCGAAAGCGUGGGGAGCAAACAGG
RNAcentral lists this ribosomal RNA (429 nucleotides) under Chloroflexota bacterium. RNAcentral describes it as "Chloroflexi bacterium partial 16S ribosomal RNA". It matches the Rfam family "Bacterial small subunit ribosomal RNA", at positions 355 to 776 of the family's 1533-position model. The record is from RNAcentral. Lineage: Bacteria; Bacillati; Chloroflexota.